Molecule: ribosomal RNA, 253 nt
Filed under: uncultured bacterium
Lineage: Bacteria
Description: partial 16S ribosomal RNA
Rfam family: Bacterial small subunit ribosomal RNA
Source: RNAcentral
GACGUAGGGCGCGAGCGUUGUCCGGAUUUAUUGGGCGUAAAGAGCUCGUAGGCGGCUUGUUGCGUCGACCGUGAAAACCCGGGGCUCAACUUCGGGCUUGCGGUCGAUACGGGCGGGCUAGAGUUCGGUAGGGGAGACUGGAAUUCCUGGUGUAGCGGUGAAAUGCGCAGAUAUCAGGAGGAACACCGGUGGCGAAGGCGGGUCUCUGGGCCGUAACUGACGCUGAGGAGCGAAAGCAUGGGGAGCGAACAGG